UCAUCAUGUUUACACAUUAUUAAAUAUCUCACCUUUCACCGUUUGAUCUCUGUUUUUGAGAUAUUUUGGAGUUAAAAUGUAAUAGAUUUUGUCAGACGAAGUUGGUGUUAGGAUAAUGGAGAUUGGUAGCCUCAAGGGAAAAGCUCUUCCACCGCCAUGUCUGUUACCCCAAAACACAGCUCCACCGCUUCGGCCUCGCAUUAACUUUUCCCAGCUUUCUCACGCCGACCACACCUUGACGCGAAUUCAGACCUCUGGUAUCAUUGCUUGCCUUCGCGCCAAUACUGCAGAGUUGGCAAUGGAAGCUGCCCGUGCUGCACUUAGUGGUGGAAUAACAGUGCUGGAGAUUGUACGGUCAACUCCAGGUGUGUUUGAGGUUCUUAAGCAGCUGGUGAAUGACUAUCCCACAACCGUCUUAGGAGUUGGUACUGUUCUUAAUAUCGAGGAUGCCAGAAAGGCAGUUGGUGCUGGAGCCAAAUUCCUCAUGAGCCCUGCAAUUGUGAAGGAUGUUAUCGAUAUGGAUGGUUUCCAGAACGGUGAAGUUUUAUACAUACCUGGUGCAAUGACCCCUACAGAGAUAUUGUCUGCUCAUGAUUCGGGUGCCAAAAUUGUGAAGGUAUAUCCGGUUUCAGUAUUAGGUGGUGUACAGUACAUAUCAGCACUUAAGAAGCCUUUUCCUGAUAUCUCAAUGGUUGCUUCCCAAGGAAUUACUAUAGAUUCAGUGGGAGAGUAUAUUGCUAAUGGAGCUUCAUCAGUUGUUUUAUCAGAUGCCAUAUUUGAUAAAGAGGCAAUGGCCCAAAAUAAUUUCAUUGUCAUUCGUCAACUUGCACAUUUUGCCACUUUGCAGGCCAGCCAAGUACUAGAAAUGUUAGACUUUAUAUUUAAUUAUUACUUUUACGAUUAUUUUCACAUAUUUUGAUUGGUUUCUUUAGAAAUUUAAGUGAAUAAAAUUUUCUGAAAAAAGAAAAUAAAAGAGUCAAGUGGGAAGAAAACAAAUGGUCAAAAGGUUCUCUGCUUGUUUAGCAAAUCUUACAGUAUUUUUGGAUAAUGAAACUAUUAUAGAUUUUAUUUUGUUAGAAUCUAAUUCGCAUUUGGACAAUUUCUUAGGUGGAGCCAUUGUCCUUAUCUUCCGAAAGAGGGAUUUUGACUAGGUUCUUGUCUUUUCUUGUCACUCAAACUCUCCUUUGUUUUAACUGCAGCAUUAUCAUGUCGCUCCUCUGAUAAACCUCCAAUCCGUUUUACAUAUCCCGGGCAUAAGGCCACCUAGCUAGAGUUGAUUAUUAUUUCUUUUUCUUUUUUACUGCUUUUGUUUUUGGCUAGGAUAUUUGGGGUUUGUUUCCUUUUUGUUGAGGCCUUGGGAUUGGAAAGGAUGUUGUGCUCUUUAUGAUGGCGAGAGUAGUUGGGAGAAAGACACUUUGUUUUGUAAAGUUGAGCUGUGCUCUAGGAGAGUUCUCUAGCCUCUCAAAUUUUAGACUUGCAUUUUCCAGUUUUCUAAAAUCUCAGUCAUAUUUACAUCAUCAUAUCAUCUCAUUUGAAUCCUUAGUUCUGGACAAUUUUUUGGUUUUGCUGCAGAGUUCAGUUUUCUUGAAUUCAUUCUCUUUUUAUCUGUUGCUUCUUAUCAAAUUCCUUUCAUGCACAUUGUUUUCUUAAAAUAGUUUUUAAAUGAUUAAUGUUCCUUAAUUUUAUAGGUAGUCAUGACAUCUGAUUAAGUUUAAUUCAUGCAGGAAGAGAAGCUUUGGGUAAAACUUAUUGUACCAGAGUAGACAAUUUUCUUUUGCAGCAUUCUAUUGUAGUACAUUCAUAUCUGGUUUUAUGAAAAGUUAUGGCCUCAUCCUCAAGGACUUCAAAUAGACUUAUAAAUCAGGUUGUAAGCUAGUGCACAUGGCAGCAAAAGAUUUACAGAGGAGUGUAAAGAAUCAGAAGAGUUAUGAAACUGAAUUGGAGUUAGUUUAAUAAUGCACCAACUCAGUCAUAGAAAGAUAAAGAUUCAAUCCUACUGGAUAGGCUAGCUAGUCAUAGGGGUUCUGAAUUCUAGUUCUGGUUUCUUGUCACUUUCAGCCUUCAAGGAGGAAUGUUAUGUCAUCUAAUAGUGUAGGAACUUGUGUCAUAUUCUGAUAACUAAAAGUUGUGUACAUGAGACUUAGACUAGACUUUCUAAAUGGUGAGAUAGUUGUCACUGGUUUUAUAGAUAUAAUGCAAUUUAGUUCUGCAA
Cannabis sativa is the source of this 2212-nucleotide RNA transcript. RefSeq lists it as uncharacterized. The record is from RefSeq and is a predicted model, not a curated record. The transcript has 10 exons. NCBI's taxonomy places the organism in Eukaryota, Viridiplantae, Streptophyta, Magnoliopsida, Rosales, Cannabaceae.